RNAcentral lists this ribosomal RNA (279 nucleotides) under uncultured bacterium. RNAcentral's name for it is "partial 16S ribosomal RNA". It matches the Rfam family "Bacterial small subunit ribosomal RNA", at positions 506 to 784 of the family's 1533-position model. The record is from RNAcentral.
UGCCAGCAGCCGCGGUAAUACGGAGGGUCCGAGCGUUAAUCGGAAUUACUGGGCGUAAAGGGUACGUAGGCGGCUUAAUAAGUCAGAUGUGAAAUCCCCGGGCUUAACCUGGGAACUGCAUUUGAAACUGUUUGGCUGGAGUGAGUGAGUGGUUAGUGGAAUUCAAGGCGUAGCGGUGAAAUGCGUAGAGGUCUUGAGGAACAUCAGUGGCGAGGGCGACUAACUGGCACUACACUGACGCUGAGGUGCGAAAGUGUGGGGAGCAAACAGGAUUAGAUA